UACAGAGGGGGCAAGCGUUGUUCGGAAUUACUGGGCGUAAAGGGCGCGUAGGCGGCCCGCUAAGUCGAACGUGAAAUCCCCGAGCUCAACUCGGGAACUGCGUCCGAUACUGAUGGGCUUGAAUCCGGGAGAGGGAUGCGGAAUUCCAGGUGUAGCGGUGAAAUGCGUAGAUAUCUGGAGGAACACCGGUGGCGAAGGCGGCAUCCUGGACCGAUAUUGACGCUGAUGCGCGAAAGCCAGGGGAGCAAACGGG
Molecule: ribosomal RNA, 253 nt
Filed under: uncultured bacterium
Lineage: Bacteria
Description: partial 16S ribosomal RNA
Rfam family: Bacterial small subunit ribosomal RNA
Source: RNAcentral